UUUAAAGGGGCAAUGUCACCGAUUUUUGACCUAAAAUACCGUUUAUUCAAAAACUGAACUACAAAGUUAAAAAUAAACAUUGUAAAUGGAUUAAGUUAUGAUAUAUGAGUCAUAUUAAACAACUUAUUUAUUUAUUUAUUUAUUUAGCUUUGCCAACUAGGGCAGGGUCACCACAACAGCAUAUGCCAAUUACUGUGGGCUACUGUGUGUUUUUUUUUUUACCUAACCCACCCUGUCAACUUUCCCUGUGGGAGGAAACCGGAGUACCCGGGGAAAACCCACGGCGUUCGGCAGAGCGUUGACUUUUACUCUUUUCACAUGGGGACUGGGUUCGAGUCGCACUGAGAAGGUACUUAGUGAGACUCGAACCCGCAGCCUCAGAGGUGAAAGGCAAGUGCGCUAACCACUUGGCCACCGUAGCCCCUAGUUUGAACUUCCACGAAACAUGUAAUAUGACAAUUUCAUAAAAAUUGAC
Molecule: non-coding RNA, 475 nt
Organism: Paramuricea clavata
Lineage: Eukaryota; Metazoa; Cnidaria; Anthozoa; Malacalcyonacea; Plexauridae
Source: the annotation of a GenBank genome assembly